This 253-nucleotide ribosomal RNA is filed under the name uncultured bacterium. RNAcentral's name for it is "partial 16S ribosomal RNA". It matches the Rfam family "Bacterial small subunit ribosomal RNA", at positions 524 to 776 of the family's 1533-position model. The record is from RNAcentral.
UACGUAGGGGGCAAGCGUUGUUCGGAAUUACUGGGCGUAAAGGGCGCGUAGGCGGCCUGUUAAGUCGAACGUGAAAUCCCCGGGCUCAACCCGGGAACUGCGUCCGAUACUGGCAGGCUUGAAUUCGGGAGAGGGAUGCGGAAUUCCAGGUGUAGCGGUGAAAUGCGUAGAUAUCUGGAGGAACACCGGUGGCGAAGGCGGCAUCCUGGACCGAGAUUGACGCUGAGGCGCGAAAGCCAGGGGAGCAAACGGG